Molecule: ribosomal RNA, 253 nt
Filed under: uncultured bacterium
Lineage: Bacteria
Description: partial 16S ribosomal RNA
Rfam family: Bacterial small subunit ribosomal RNA
Source: RNAcentral
UACGAAGGGGGCUAGCGUUGCUCGGAAUCACUGGGCGUAAAGCGCACGUAGGCGGACUCUUAAGUCGGUGGUGAAAUCCUGGAGCUCAACUCCAGAACUGCCUUCGAUACUGGGAGUCUCGAGUCCGGGAGAGGUGAGUGGAACUGCGAGUGUAGAGGUGAAAUUCGUAGAUAUUCGCAAGAACACCAGUGGCGAAGGCGGCUCACUGGCCCAUUACUGACGCUGAGGCACGAAAGCGUGGGGAGCAAACAGG